Molecule: long non-coding RNA, 599 nt
Organism: Phascolarctos cinereus (koala)
Lineage: Eukaryota; Metazoa; Chordata; Mammalia; Diprotodontia; Phascolarctidae
Source: Ensembl
ACCUUUUCUACCUUCCUUUCUCAGUAGGGUUCUUGUAAUUCUUUAUGGUGGUGAUUGAGCUGAUGGGCCAAUCUGCAAAUACUGCUGAGCGCUGACUGGGAGAACUGCCAAGUUGGCUUGAACUACCUAGGAAGAAAUCAAGGAGACUGUAACCUGAGCCAGUGAGGACAAAAAAGUCAAUUACCAGAAAGGAUGGAAGUACAACUAUAUGAUGGAAAGGAACCACAUGGUCUGGGUUCUAUCCCUGACUCUGAUGCUCAUCAGGGAGAUGAUCAGAAGACACCAGGAUUGGUUGGGGCUAGAAGAAGGAGAGGGAAAAACACCUUUCUGGUUCCUGACAUUCUCAAGGCCUAACUGUCCUUUGACUCCAGGCUGUGGAUAAGAACCAUUUUUUAAAAAGUAUGUCAUCAUGCAACUGGGAAAUAAGAAAUACAGGAAAUGGGGUACAGAAAUCUAUCCUGAACUACAGGAAAAUAGAAGGGGAGAUGAGAUAGAAGGGAGGGCAGAUUAGAGAAAGGGGUAUACAGAAUGCAUGCCAUCUUGGGGUAGAGGGAGGGAUGAUAUGGGGAGAAAAUUUGGAACUCAAAAUCUUGUGGAAG